GCCAGCGAGUAAUGUCGGGAACUCAAAGGAGACUGCCGGUGAUAAACCGGAGGAAGGUGGGGAUGACGUCAAGUCAUCAUGGCCCUUACGAGUAGGGCUACACACGUGCUACAAUGGCAUAUACAAAGAGAAGCGAACUCGCGAGAGCAAGCGGACCUCAUAAAGUAUGUCGUAGUCCCGGAUUGGAGUCUGCAACUCGACUCCAUGAAGUCGGAAUCGCUAGUAAUCGUAGAUCAGAAUGCUACGGUGAAUACGUUCCCGGGCCUU
RNAcentral lists this ribosomal RNA (267 nucleotides) under uncultured Enterobacteriaceae bacterium. RNAcentral's name for it is "partial 16S ribosomal RNA". It matches the Rfam family "Bacterial small subunit ribosomal RNA", at positions 1117 to 1382 of the family's 1533-position model. Lineage: Bacteria; Pseudomonadati; Pseudomonadota; Gammaproteobacteria; Enterobacterales; Enterobacteriaceae. The record is from RNAcentral.